GUCCCGGUUUAAGCAUGUAGGCGGAGGUUCCAGGUAAAUCCGGUACCUUUUUAACGCUGAGGUGUGAUGACGAGGCACUACGGUGCUGAAGUAACAAAUGCCCUGCUUCCAGGAAAAGCCUCUAAGCAUCAGGUAACACGAAAUCGUACCCCAAACCGACACAGGUGGUCAGGUAGAGAAUACCAAGGCGCUUGAGAGAACUCGGGUGAAGGAACUAGGCAAAAUGGUGCCGUAACUUCGGGAGAAGGCACGCUGAUAUGUAGGUGAAGCGGUUUACCCGUGGAGCUGAAAUCAGUCGAAGAUACCAGCUGGCUGCAACUGUUUAUUAAAAACACAGCACUGUGCAAACACGAAAGUGGACGUAUACGGUGUGACGCCUGCCCGGUGCCGGAAGGUUAAUUGAUGGGGUUAUCCGUAAGGAGAAGC
This 426-nucleotide ribosomal RNA is filed under the name Citrobacter freundii. RNAcentral's name for it is "bacterial LSU rRNA". It matches the Rfam family "Bacterial large subunit ribosomal RNA", at positions 1504 to 1905 of the family's 2925-position model. The record is from RNAcentral. Lineage: Bacteria; Pseudomonadati; Pseudomonadota; Gammaproteobacteria; Enterobacterales; Enterobacteriaceae.